RNAcentral lists this ribosomal RNA (1110 nucleotides) under Fusarium solani. RNAcentral's name for it is "eukaryotic LSU rRNA". The stretch from base 504 to 1110 matches the Rfam family "Eukaryotic large subunit ribosomal RNA", at positions 1 to 632 of the family's 3401-position model. The record is from RNAcentral. Lineage: Eukaryota; Fungi; Ascomycota; Sordariomycetes; Hypocreales; Nectriaceae.
CAGGGACAGCGGAGGGACAUUACCGAGUUAUACAACUCAUCAACCCUGUGAACAUACCUAAACGUUGCUUCGGCGGGAACAGACGGCCCCGUAACACGGGCCGCCCCCCGCCCAGAGGACCCCCUAACUCUGUUUCUAUAAUGUUUCUUCUGAGUAAAACAAGCAAAUAAAUUAAAACUUUCAACAACGGAUCUCUUGGCUCUGGCAUCGAUGAAGAACGCAGCGAAAUGCGAUAAGUAAUGUGAAUUGCAGAAUUCAGUGAAUCAUCGAAUCUUUGAACGCACAUUGCGCCCGCCAGUAUUCUGGCGGGCAUGCCUGUUCGAGCGUCAUUACAACCCUCAGGCCCCCGGGCCUGGCGUUGGGGAUCGGCGGAGCCCCCCGCGGGCACACGCCGUCCCCCAAAUACAGUGGCGGUCCCGCCGCAGCUUCCAUUGCGUAGUAGCUAACACCUCGCAACUGGAGAGCGGCGCGGCCACGCCGUAAAACCCCCAACUUCUGAACGUUGACCUCGAAUCAGGUAGGAAUACCCGCUGAACUUAAGCAUAUCAAUAAGCGGAGGAAAAGAAACCAACAGGGAUUGCCCUAGUAACGGCGAGUGAAGCGGCAACAGCUCAAAUUUGAAAUCUGGCUCUCGGGCCCGAGUUGUAAUUUGUAGAGGAUGCUUUUGGUGAGGUGCCUUCCGAGUUCCCUGGAACGGGACGCCACAGAGGGUGAGAGCCCCGUCUGGUUGGACACCGAUCCUCUGUAAAGCUCCUUCGACGAGUCGAGUAGUUUGGGAAUGCUGCUCUAAAUGGGAGGUAUAUGUCUUCUAAAGCUAAAUACCGGCCAGAGACCGAUAGCGCACAAGUAGAGUGAUCGAAAGAUGAAAAGAACUUUGAAAAGAGAGUUAAAAAGUACGUGAAAUUGUUGAAAGGGAAGCGCUUGUGACCAGACUUGGGCUUGGUUGAUCAUCCAGGGUUCUCCCUGGUGCACUCUUCCGGCCCAGGCCAGCAUCAGUUCGCCCCGGGGGAAAAAGGCUUCGGGAAUGUGGCUCUCUCCGGGGAGUGUUAUAGCCCGUUGCGUAAUACCCUGUGGCGGACUGAGGUUCGCGCAUCGCAAGGAUUCUGGUCA